This 491-nucleotide long non-coding RNA is filed under the name Nicotiana benthamiana. RNAcentral describes it as "long non-coding RNA (NBEN_LNC004633)". Lineage: Eukaryota; Viridiplantae; Streptophyta; Magnoliopsida; Solanales; Solanaceae. The record is from RNAcentral.
GAUAAAUGUGGGCUCAGAUAUACACGGCCAGCAGUAAUCAUCAUAGCCCAUUACAGGUAUACCAUGAGUAUACAGUAAAUAUACAAUGAAUAUGUCACUUAUCCUUUGGUUUGGAUUCUCAUCUCAACAACCCCACCUAGCACUUUCAAGCGGAGCCACUGUUAUAGUCAUAGUUUUGCUAGAACCCCAUCAUGUUGUUACAAAUCCUGUAAUUAAAUUAUGAAUUUAUUUAGUAUAUAUAAAUAAUAUAUUGAACUUAAUAAGCAAAUUAAAAAGAAUUGUUAUUCAUAAACCAUAAACUAAAAAUCUUGACUUUGUCAUUUAUCAGUUAAACCCUAGAAACUCGAUCUCAAACAAAGAAAAUAUUAUAUAUACACACACUUAAUUGAGUUUAGGAGAAAUAAUUAAUGAGAAAUGUGUACAUAUGUAUUACCUCUACAUGCUCCAUUACUUUGUUCAAGUGCUUAUGAAAUGUAUUUCUAUUUCAGGAG